UGGGGAAUCUUGGACAAUGGGGGCAACCCUGAUCCAGCCAUGCCGCGUGAGUGAUGAAGGCCUUAGGGUCGUAAAGCUCUUUCGCCUGUGAAGAUAAUGACGGUAGCAGGUAAAGAAACCCCGGCUAACUCCGUGCCAGCAGCCGCGGUAAUACGGAGGGGGCUAGCGUUGUUCGGAAUUACUGGGCGUAAAGCGCACGUAGGCGGACCAGAAAGUUGGGGGUGAAAUCCCGGGGGCUCAACCCCGGAACUGCCUCCAAAACUAUUGGUCUAGAGUUCGAGAGAGGUGAGUGGAAUUCCAAGUGUAGAGGUGAAAUUCGUAGAUAUUUGGAGGAACACCAGUGGCGAAGGCGACUCACUGGACAGGUAUUGACGCUGAGGUACGAAAGCGUGGGGGAGCGAACAGGAUUAGAUACCCUGGUAGUCCACGCCGUAAACGAUGUCUGCUAGUCGUUGGGGAGCUAGCUCUUCGGUGACGCAGCUAACGCAUUAAGCAGACCGCCU
RNAcentral lists this ribosomal RNA (503 nucleotides) under uncultured bacterium. Its description in RNAcentral is "bacterial SSU rRNA". It matches the Rfam family "Bacterial small subunit ribosomal RNA", at positions 355 to 874 of the family's 1533-position model. The record is from RNAcentral.